CCUACGGGUGGCUGCAGUGGGGAAUAUUGCACAAUGGGCGCAAGCCUGAUGCAGCCAUGCCGCGUGUGUGAAGAAGGCCUUCGGGUUGUAAAGCACUUUCAGCGGGGAGGAAGGCGGUGAGGUUAAUAACCUCAUCGAUUGACGUUACCCGCAGAAGAAGCACCGGCUAACUCCGUGCCAGCAGCCGCGGUAAUACGGAGGGUGCAAGCGUUAAUCGGAAUUACUGGGCGUAAAGCGCACGCAGGCGGUCUGUCAAGUCGGAUGUGAAAUCCCCGGGCUCAACCUGGGAACUGCAUUCGAAACUGGCAGGCUAGAGUCUGGUAGAGGGGGGUAGAAUUCCAGGUGUAGCGGUGAAACGCGUAGAGAUCUGGAGGAAUACCGGUGGCGAAGGCGGCCCCCUGGACAAAGACUGACGCUCAGGUGCGAAAGCGUGGGGAGCAAACAGGAUUAGAUACCCGGGUAGUC
RNAcentral lists this ribosomal RNA (465 nucleotides) under uncultured Klebsiella sp. RNAcentral's name for it is "bacterial SSU rRNA". It matches the Rfam family "Bacterial small subunit ribosomal RNA", at positions 338 to 795 of the family's 1533-position model. Lineage: Bacteria; Pseudomonadati; Pseudomonadota; Gammaproteobacteria; Enterobacterales; Enterobacteriaceae. The record is from RNAcentral.